RNAcentral lists this long non-coding RNA (831 nucleotides) under Homo sapiens (human). Its description in RNAcentral is "HSALNT0385129". Lineage: Eukaryota; Metazoa; Chordata; Mammalia; Primates; Hominidae. The record is from RNAcentral.
CUCAGUUCCCAUGGUGAUGGGGCUUGUGAGGUGAAGGCGGGUGUGGGAGGGAGAACAAUGCUGUCCUGGCACCAGUGACAUCAGUGGCCUGGCCUGGAGGGAGACUGGCACCCACCGGACCAGCAGCUUAGCCGAUAGAGCCGGACUCAGAGUUCCAGGCAAGGCUCUCACAGGAAACCUGGUUAUAAUCAUAUCGUCUGUGGCUCCUGGAGACCAAGUGUCCCAUCCUUCCUUGGUGUGGCACAGACAAUGCUAUAUGCUCAUGAGACCAUCUCAUUUCUCUUCUGGGCUUGUAGGAAAAGUACAUUUCCAACUCCAUGGACCUUGAAAGCUGUUCUUUGGACCCAGCAAAGCCCCACCGUGGUUGGAACGUGGGUCUCUGAGUGACUGCGUGGAGAAGAACCACUACCCUCUGCCCAAUGUAUUGGUGACAUCAGUGAGCUGUAAACUGUUAUUGGACUAAGCCAUCAAGAUUUGGGCGUUUGUUUGUUACCACAGCAACACCUGCUUUGCACGGACUAAUACAUCAUGUUCACAGACACUGCUGAUGUGUUUCACCAGAUUUAGUUUUCUCCUGAUGGUUUCUGCAGCGGGUUCUGGAGCUGUGUUCCUACCUCAAUACCUACCCUAGCAUCAAAGUCCCUGGUGGGAAAGCAAUGCUUUCUCACAUUAUGAAGAUGGAAAAGAAUAUCGUCAGGGAGAACAUCACCAGCCCAGAAAAUUGGCUGUCAGCUCCAGGCCUCCAACCCUUAUAUUUAUUCCUGGGAAACCCUUGCUAAGUUAGGCAUUGAUUCUCUGCAUGUGACACGCCAUAAUAACUUCUAACUUGGA